GUGGGGAAUUUUGGACAAUGGGGGCAACCCUGAUCCAGCGACGCCGCGUGGAGGACGAAGGUCUUCGGAUUGUAAACUCCUUUUAGGGGGGAUGAAUGAACGGGUGAAUAGCCCGGAAUGACAGUACUCCCUGAAUAAGCCACGGCUAACUACGUGCCAGCAGCCGCGGUAAUACGUAGGUGGCAAGCGAUACUCGGAAUCACUAGGCGUAAAGCGCAGGUAGGCGGUUGGGUAAGUCUUUUGUGAAAGCUCCUGGCUUAACUGGGAGAGGUCAAAGGAAACUACCUGGCUAGAGUGUGGCAGAGGAAGCUGGAAUUCCCGGUGUAGCGGUGAAAUGCGUAGAUAUCGGGAGGAAUACCUAUGGCGAAAGCAGGCUUCUGGGCCAUCACUGACGCUGAUCUGCGAAAGCUAGGGGAGCAAACAGGAUUAGAUACCCCGGUAGUCC
This 445-nucleotide ribosomal RNA is filed under the name uncultured bacterium. Its description in RNAcentral is "bacterial SSU rRNA". It matches the Rfam family "Bacterial small subunit ribosomal RNA", at positions 354 to 796 of the family's 1533-position model. The record is from RNAcentral.